RNAcentral lists this ribosomal RNA (1346 nucleotides) under uncultured bacterium. Its description in RNAcentral is "bacterial SSU rRNA". It matches the Rfam family "Bacterial small subunit ribosomal RNA", at positions 28 to 1381 of the family's 1533-position model. The record is from RNAcentral.
GACGAACGCUGGCGGCGUGCUUAACACAUGCAAGUCGAACGGAAAGGCCCUGCUUUUGUGGGGUGCUCGAGUGGCGAACGGGUGAGUAACACGUGAGUAACCUGCCCUUGACUUUGGGAUAACUUCAGGAAACUGAGGCUAAUACCGGAUAGGAGCUCCUGCUGUAUGGUGGGGGUUGGAAAGUUUCGGCGGUUGGGGAUGGACUCGCGGCUUAUCAGCUUGUUGGUGGGGUAGUGGCUUACCAAGGCUUUGACGGGUAGCCGGCCUGAGAGGGUGACCGGCCACAUUGGGACUGAGAUACGGCCCAGACUCCUACGGGAGGCAGCAGUGGGGAAUAUUGCACAAUGGGCGGAAGCCUGAUGCAGCAACGCCGCGUGCGGGAUGACGGCCUUCGGGUUGUAAACCGCUUUCGCCUGUGACGAAGCGUGAGUGACGGUAAUGGGUAAAGAAGCACCGGCUAACUACGUGCCAGCAGCCGCGGUGAUACGUAGGGUGCGAGCGUUGUCCGGAUUUAUUGGGCGUAAAGGGCUCGUAGGUGGUUGAUCGCGUCGGAAGUGUAAUCUUGGGGCUUAACCCUGAGCGUGCUUUCGAUACGGGUUGACUUGAGGAAGGUAGGGGAGAAUGGAAUUCCUGGUGGAGCGGUGGAAUGCGCAGAUAUCAGGAGGAACACCAGUGGCGAAGGCGGUUCUCUGGGCCUUUCCUGACGCUGAGGAGCGAAAGCGUGGGGAGCGAACAGGCUUAGAUACCCUGGUAGUCCACGCUGUAAACGGUGGGUACUAGGUGUGGGGUCCAUUCCACGGGUUCCGUGCCGUAGCUAACGCUUUAAGUACCCCGCCUGGGGAGUACGGCCGCAAGGCUAAAACUCAAAGGAAUUGACGGGGCCCCGCACAAGCGGCGGAGCAUGCGGAUUAAUUCGAUGCAACGCGUAGAACCUUACCUGGGUUUGACAUGGAUCGGGAGCGCUCAGAGAUGGGUGUGCCUCUUUUGGGGUCGGUUCACAGGUGGUGCAUGGCUGUCGUCAGCUCGUGUCGUGAGAUGUUGGGUUAAGUCCCGCAACGAGCGCAACCCUUGUUCACUGUUGCCAGCACGUUAUGGUGGGGACUCAGUGGAGACCGCCGGGGUCAACUCGGAGGAAGGUGGGGAUGACGUCAAGUCAUCAUGCCCCUUAUGUCCAGGGCUUCACGCAUGCUACAAUGGCUGGUACAGAGAGUGGCGAGCCUGUGAGGGUGAGCGAAUCUCGGAAAGCCGGUCUCAGUUCGGAUUGGGGUCUGCAACUCGACCUCAUGAAGUCGGAGUCGCUAGUAAUCGCAGAUCAGCAACGCUGCGGUGAAUACGUUCCCGGGGCU